GCCAGCUUAGCUCAGUUGGCAGAGCAGCUGAUUUGUAAUCAGCAGGUCUCCGGUUCGAACCCGGAAGCUGGCUCCA
This 76-nucleotide transfer RNA is filed under the name Verrucomicrobiota bacterium. RNAcentral's name for it is "Verrucomicrobia bacterium (freshwater metagenome) tRNA-Thr". It matches the Rfam family "tRNA". From Rfam's summary of the family: Transfer RNA (tRNA) molecules are approximately 80 nucleotides in length. The record is from RNAcentral. Lineage: Bacteria; Pseudomonadati; Verrucomicrobiota.